This 357-nucleotide unclassified non-coding RNA is filed under the name Hevea brasiliensis (rubber tree). Lineage: Eukaryota; Viridiplantae; Streptophyta; Magnoliopsida; Malpighiales; Euphorbiaceae. The record is from RNAcentral.
AAGCAUGUCAAAUGCCCCUAAAUACCUGGCAGAAGCUAGAAAAGGUUCUCGAUUUGGGAAUGAUACUAUUGUUGAUGGUAUGCUCAAAGAUGGCUUGUGGGAUGCAUAUAAUGAUUUUGCCAUGGGGAUGUGUGCUGAGAUAUGUUCUGAUAAUCAUUCAAUCACAAGAGAAGAACAGGAUUCCUAUGCUGUUCAGAGCAAUGAACGGGGAAUUGCUGCCCGAAAUGGUGGUGCCUUCACAUGGGAGAUAGUUCCGGUAGAAGUUUCUGCAGGUAGAGGAAGAUCACCUGUUAUUGUUGACAGGGAUGAAGGCUUAGAAAAAUUUGAUCCGACGAAACUAAGGAAGCUCCGCCCAAG